AUACGGAGGGUGCAAGCGUUACUCGGAAUCACUGGGCGUAAAGCGCGCGCAGGCGGGCUGAUAAGCGGGGAGUGAAAGCCUACGGCUCAACCGUAGAACUGCUUUCCGAACUGUCAGUCUAGAGUCUGGAGGGGAAGAUGGAAUUAGUUGUGUAGGGGUAAAAUCCGUAGAGAUAACUAGGAAUACCAAAAGCGAAGGCGAUCUUCUGGAACAGUACUGACGCUGAGGCGCGAAAGCGUGGGGAGCAAACAGGAUUAGAAACCCCAGUAGUCC
Molecule: ribosomal RNA, 273 nt
Filed under: uncultured bacterium
Lineage: Bacteria
Description: partial 16S ribosomal RNA
Rfam family: Bacterial small subunit ribosomal RNA
Source: RNAcentral